Molecule: long non-coding RNA, 264 nt
Organism: Emys orbicularis (European pond turtle)
Lineage: Eukaryota; Metazoa; Chordata; Testudines; Emydidae
Exons: 3
Source: RefSeq, a predicted model, not a curated record
CCCGCAAGCGCUGGCCACGCCCCCAACAUGGCCCGGGCCAGGGGCGCGCAGGUACUGGUGCCUAGUGAGGACGUCUCCGUCUCCGGCCCCGCAGGCGUGGGUGGAAUUUGUGGCGUGGCAGAGCCGUGGGCCAGUGACGGUGGAGCCCGUGGCCUGGCGGUGGGAGGAUAAAGCCGCGUGAAUUACAGCCGUCACCCCUUCCCACUCCAAACCCGCCUGGCAGCGUCUCCAGGGAACGUGCCUGUGACCUCGGUGUCUCUGCAG